This 374-nucleotide long non-coding RNA is filed under the name Linum usitatissimum (flax). Its description in RNAcentral is "long non-coding RNA (LUSI_LNC001425)". The record is from RNAcentral. Lineage: Eukaryota; Viridiplantae; Streptophyta; Magnoliopsida; Malpighiales; Linaceae.
UCAAAUUGCUUCAAGAGGAUAUUCAGUGUUGUUUGGCCGGGCCGGAGGUUAUACAGGAGUUGUACUUCGAAAAUAAGCGAAUAAGAACAUAGAGAGAAGUGUAAAUUCUUCAUCAUCAUCUAUAUGUGUUGCAGCUCCGAGAAACUAGAACGCCCGCUGGAGGGCUACUGAUGACGGUAUCACACUUACCAUGAAGCCAGUAAGUAUAGUGGAAGAGGCCAAGGGUCGCUUUCAGCUUGAACGUAGCUCGUAUGUUGUAAGUGACCUUGUUACUCAGCACUUGCUUUUGGAGUUCCACAGCAGAACUCUGUGGCAAAUAGACCAGACUCGAUAUGACACGAACUGUUUGCCACGAUAUCGCUCUCGGUCUCUGA